AUUGAACGCUGGCGGCAUGCCUUACACAUGCAAGUCGAACGGCAGCGGGGGAGAAGCUUGCUUUUCCUGCCGGCGAGUGGCGAACGGGUGAGUAAUACAUCGGAACGUGCCCUGUAGUGGGGGAUAACUAGUCGAAAGAUUAGCUAAUACCGCAUACGACCUGAGGGUGAAAGUGGGGGACCGCAAGGCCUCAUGCUAUAGGAGCGGCCGAUGUCUGAUUAGCUAGUUGGUGGGGUAAAGGCCUACCAAGGCGACGAUCAGUAGCUGGUCUGAGAGGACCGUAAGCCACACUGGGACUGAGACACGGCCCAGAAUCCUACGGGAGGCAGCAGUGGGGAAUUUUGGACAAUGGGCGAAAGCCUGAUCCAGCAAUGCCGCGUGUGUGAAGAAGGCCUUCGGGUUGUAAAGCACUUUUGUCCGGAAAGAAAUGGCUCUGGUUAAUACCUGGGGUCGAUGACGGUACCGGAAGAAUAAGGACCGGCUAACUACGUGCCAGCCGCCGCGGUAA
This 508-nucleotide ribosomal RNA is filed under the name uncultured bacterium. RNAcentral's name for it is "partial 16S ribosomal RNA". It matches the Rfam family "Bacterial small subunit ribosomal RNA", at positions 30 to 523 of the family's 1533-position model. The record is from RNAcentral.